This 155-nucleotide ribosomal RNA is filed under the name Trichomonas gallinae. Its description in RNAcentral is "5.8S ribosomal RNA". It matches the Rfam family "5.8S ribosomal RNA". Rfam says of the family: 5.8S ribosomal RNA (5.8S rRNA) is a component of the large subunit of the eukaryotic ribosome. It is transcribed by RNA polymerase I as part of the 45S precursor that also contains 18S and 28S rRNA. Lineage: Eukaryota; Parabasalia; Trichomonadida; Trichomonadidae. The record is from RNAcentral.
AGUCUCUAAGCAACGGAUGUCUUGGCUCCUCACACGAUGAAGAACGUGGCAUAAUGUGUUAAGUAACCGGAGUUGCAAACAUCAUGACAGGUUAAUCUUUGAAUGCAAAUUGCGCUUACCCGGCUUCGGCCGAGGAGCAUGCGUGUAACAGUACA